Molecule: long non-coding RNA, 2430 nt
Organism: Chiloscyllium plagiosum (whitespotted bambooshark)
Lineage: Eukaryota; Metazoa; Chordata; Chondrichthyes; Orectolobiformes; Hemiscylliidae
Source: RefSeq, a predicted model, not a curated record
AAGGGCAUGUACAGAUGAAGGGCUGACUGACAUUAGUCUCUUCAGCAUUUAAGAACGAGAAGAGAAUUUUGGCCCUUGCAUGUGAAGAUCAGAACUGUUCCUGCAGAAAUGCUGAAAUAUCCAUAUACAUCAAACAAUCAUGCUGGAAAAUGUGGUACUGAAGUGGGAAUCAUCUCUCUUGAAUGUAAUUACCCAUUUUUGAGAAGCUGUUCAUCAACCUCUGCUAGAUUUUAAGUUGACAAGUACUAAGUUGACAUUGGACUGAGUCACUCAUGUAGCUGCUAGCACAAAAAUCAGGGGAUCAUUCGUAGCUGACUGAGAGUGACAGCCCUUGACAUCGAGGCCACAUUCGACAGAAUGUGGCAUGAAGAAGCCCUAGAAAAACUAGAAUCAGUGGGCAUCAGGAGGAAAACUCUUCACUAGUUGGAAUCAUAUCUGGAAUAUAGGCAGAUGGUUGUGUUUGUUGAAGGUCAGUCAUCUCAGCUCCAGGACAGCUUUGCAGGAGUUCCUCAGGUCCUAGAUCCAAUGACCUUCAGCUAUUUCAUCAAAUGACCUUCCCUCCGUCAUAAGGUCAGAAGUGUGGAUGUUCACCACUGAUUGUGAAUGAACAUUGCACAAAGCCUCACGUAUACUGAAGCAGUCUAUAUUCAAAUGCAACAAAAUGUGGACAAUAUCUAGGUUUGGGCUGCUAAGAGACAAGCAACAAUCGCCACCACACAAAUGCCAAGCAAUGACCAUCACCAAUAAGAGAUAAUCUAACCACCAUUCCUUGAUAUUCAUUGGUGUUACUAACACUGAAUCCCACACUAUCAACAUCCUGGGGAUUAUCAUUGACCAGAAAUGCAACUGGAUUCAUCUCAUAAACACAAAUGCUGCAAGAGCAGAUCAGAGGCUAGGAAUAUUGUGGCAAGUAGCUCACCUCUAGUCUCCCCAAAGCCUGUCUAUCAUCUACAAGGCAUAAGUCAGGAAUGUCAUGGAAUAUUCCCCAUUUAUCCAGAAGGGUAGAGCUCCAACCACACAUGGAUAAAACAGCCUGUUUGAUUGGCAUCACUCCCUCCACCACUCACUCAGUAGUACACACUUCUGCUAUCGACAAGAUGCACUGCAAAAAUUAAAAGUUCCUUAGACAGCACCUUUCACACCUACAAUCAUUUCCAUCUAGUAGAACAAAGGCAGCACAUACAUAGGAACACCACCACUUACAAAUUCCUCUACAAAUCGUUCAUUAUUCGACUUGGAAAUAUGUCAUCAUUCCUUCACUGUCGCUGGGUCAAAAUCCUGGAAUUUCAUCCCUAAGAGCAUUGCAGGUGAACUGCAAUAGUUCAAGAACGUAGCUCGCUAUUAUCUUUUCAAGGGCAACCAGGGACAGGCAGUAAAUGCUUGCCAGUCAGUGAUGCUGCUCCCACAAGUGAAUAAAAGAAAUCUUUCCAUGACCCCACACCAGUCCUCAGUCACUCCCUCCCAUGGCACCAGUCUGUGCAAAUGUAGGCAAUACAUCGUUCAUCUCCUCCCCAAUCAUUGAUUUACUUGUACUUCUUUAAAUUCAGUAUAUGGUACCAUAUUCUUUGUUGUGGUCACUUCUGUAUUGAGGAGACAAUGGCAGACUGAGUGACCACUUUACAGAACAUUCCAUUCUGUGCGUAAGAACAAUCCUAAACUUGUAGUUGUGAGUCAAUUAAAUUCUUCACCUUGCUCCCAUGCUGGCCCCUCUGUCCAUAGCCUUUAACAAUGUUCCAGUCAAAUUCACAAGCUCAGAGAACAAUGCCUUAUCUUUUAACUCAGUGCUCUACAGCUUUCUGGACUUAACAUUAAGUCCAAGAACUUUAGACAAUAACCUUUUCUGUGUUGUACAUUUUUUGAUCCCUUUUGCUUUGAUGGUGUGGUCCUUGCCUUGCUUAUUCCUUAAUAUUGUAUUCAGAUGGAUUUUAUACAGCAAUUUGGACUAUAUUUUCACAGAACAUCUUUCUUUACUGUAUCCACCACCACUCUUUUUGACUGUUGCAUCUUUUGUCAUUCAACCUCCUUUGGCUUCUCCUCUUUUACUUUUCCUUUGUUUUUGUGGGAAAAAGAUCUGCCAUCCUGCUCACCCACAGCAUGGCCACAUAAAAAACACAGAAAUCAAACCUGCCAACACACACAGAAAUUACCCAGAAUGCCCCCAAUCUUGGCCAAACAGGCUAACGUAGAAACCAGACAUGGCCAAGCUACUCCCAGACCAGAGAAUACACUUCCUAAAACAGCUUUCACAAUCUUCUCCCAGCCUAGAUUAGCACCGCAGUCCCAACACUCUCACAGCAGGCUCAUUUCCCAUUGAAACCAAUACCGCAUAAACAAAAAGGCAAACUGAGAGACCCCGGAAGAUUUCACUCGCAGGAGGAACACAAUGGACACACCUGAAUGCCAGAAGGAACAUUUACACAUAUUCGUGCA